AGGAGAUAUUGUGGUGGUUGUUCUGCUCAUGCCCAAGCAAUUUGAGAGCAUUGUUUAAUUGUUGGAACAUUGAUUUCAGUGAUAUUGCCAUUUUAGGCACAGAAUUCAAUGCCCAAUAGUUUUUGGCUAACCUUUGCAGUUCAAUAAAACCAGAGAGCAGAAUAGGAUUUUAACAAUAAAUAAAUAUAGUCAUUGAUCCUUGAGGGGUUAAAUGAAUAGCAGUGAGUUGCAGGUAGUUUUACAGAGCAGGGUAAAAACUUAAUAUAAGAAUGCACUGGAACUUCUCGCCCG
Molecule: non-coding RNA, 291 nt
Organism: Pelobates cultripes (western spadefoot toad)
Lineage: Eukaryota; Metazoa; Chordata; Amphibia; Anura; Pelobatidae
Source: the annotation of a GenBank genome assembly